UUUCGGGAUGAAGGGGAAUGUAUUCUCGAUGGAUGGAUGCGCCAUAUGGUCCAGGAUAAUCUCGAGUCGACGACAGGGAUUGCAUUUCUUGGCUCGACGUGAUCGCAGCAAUAAGACAGGAUUCUUCUCUGGUAUGAGGCGGUACAAAAAACUCGGCUACGUAUCGUUUACUAUCAUUCGUGCCGAAUUAACACAUCGUUGACCGGCAAUUUUGCACAGAUCGAUUUUGUGUCACCGGCUAUUAUUUCGUAAUUGAAUGCGAAAUUAAAACGAUCCGAAUAAACUCCGAUGAACGUUAUCUGUAUUUUAUAGGUAAUUCGAGUGCGAACACGAUUCGACAAUGCGUCGACAGAAAAUGUUGAACAGCGUAAGAACGUGGAUCCGAUUGAAAAUCACCGCGGGCGUACCGAAGCGAUAUUGCCACCUUGGCGGGCCCACAAAAACCGAUUAAUUACGGUCGCUACGUAACCGAGUACCUGCUCGGUGCACGUGUACCGGUACAUUAUGUACCGGUGGCCGCGGCCGAGCAUUGUACACGAGCAGUCGGCCAUAAAAUCCCGAGCCGUCCUGACGCAUUGGUUGCGUCCCGCAAAGACGUCGACGCUGAGUAAUUACGAGCCGCGCGGAGACAAUAGCGAAUUUAAAAUCGUUACGCAAACUAACUAGAUUUCCCGCUACUUCGCGAGGAAGGUGGGGGGCAUCGAGUCUAAUUACGCAACCGUAACGUGUCUCUCUUUCCCUUGCUUCCUCGAGCCACGUGGCCUGGCGAUCGUUGAAAUUUUAAUCGAGUUUCCGAAUUAGAAACAAAACUGUUACUCACGUAACAGGUGUUUCAGUGUAACGAUUAAUACUCUUUUACGAUAAAUACCGAAGAGUACCGUAAUGUAUUUUAAGAAGACCAACGUGUACUGCGACUCCUUAUAAUGCAACGUAUUUCUUUGUAGACGAGCAGAACGUACCACUUCAAGGGGCAUUACUACGAAUAAAUACAAGAAGAACGUGUAUUGGUAUCGCAGGAAGAAAGAACAGCGUCGGUGGUAGUAAGGAGGAUGCGUUACCACGGCGUCACGAGAGGCGUUCACGCAAUCGGCCGAAGCUUUUCUGGAGGUAAUCUUUCCACGGAGACAACGACCACGUAACAGAGACGAGAUGCGAAUUCGAGACGCGGUGGAAGUUUGUUCGCGGCGAGUUUGGCCGUCUCCGAGACAGAAAAUUGCACGUGCAGCAGCGAGGAUCUCUCCGACGAUAUGUUCGGUUUCUCCAUGAACACUCGACACGAACUAUCGCGUGCCACGUCCGAACAAGAACCACCGUUUUCGAUGGUAAACGCUCGCCGCGGCGAAAUCUGCCCGAGAGAUCGAGCGAACGGCGUCAGGUGCAUCCGACCGUUUUCAAUAAGUUACACUCGACACGAGUCAGCCAACGUCGAGAGCAGUUUUGCAGUCGCCAUCGAUCUCGAGAUCACCGCGUCAGCCCUCCUCCGUGAUAUGCUGGCAAUUCCAGCAACCGUUCGGGCUUUUUCCAGCAGGGGAUUCCGCGAUGCGAGACCUGCUUCCGUGGAUCCAACCGGAAUUCCAAAUGUGACGGACAACUGCGAAGUACCAGCCCAGCUAUCAAUUUACACGAAUCGUCCAUCGAUCUUCGAUCCCUGCCACGGGAAACGAACGACGCGACGCGUUCGGAAACCGGAA
Molecule: long non-coding RNA, 1691 nt
Organism: Hylaeus anthracinus
Lineage: Eukaryota; Metazoa; Arthropoda; Insecta; Hymenoptera; Colletidae
Exons: 3
Source: RefSeq, a predicted model, not a curated record